GACGAACGCUGGCGGCGUGCUUAACACAUGCAAGUCGAACGGAAAGGCCCUGCUUUUGUGGGGUGCUCGAGUGGCGAACGGGUGAGUAACACGUGAGUAACCUGCCCUUGACUUUGGGAUAACUUCAGGAAACUGGGGCUAAUACCGGAUAGGAGCUCCUGCUGCAUGGUGGGGGUUGGAAAGUUUCGGCGGUUGGGGAUGGACUCGCGGCUUAUCAGCUUGUUGGUGGGGUAGUGGCUUACCAAGGCUUUGACGGGUAGCCGGCCUGAGAGGGUGACCGGCCACAUUGGGACUGAGAUACGGCCCAGACUCCUACGUGAGGCAGCAGUGGGGAAUAUUGCACAAUGGGCGGAAGCCUGAUGCAGCGACGCCGCGUGCGGGAUGACGGCCUUCGGGUUGUAAACCGCUUUCGCCUGAGACGAAGCGUGAGUGACGGUAAUGGGUAAAGAAGCACCGGCUAACUACGUG
This 468-nucleotide ribosomal RNA is filed under the name uncultured bacterium. RNAcentral's name for it is "partial 16S ribosomal RNA". It matches the Rfam family "Bacterial small subunit ribosomal RNA", at positions 28 to 507 of the family's 1533-position model. The record is from RNAcentral.